RNAcentral lists this ribosomal RNA (500 nucleotides) under uncultured bacterium. Its description in RNAcentral is "partial 16S ribosomal RNA". It matches the Rfam family "Bacterial small subunit ribosomal RNA", at positions 30 to 523 of the family's 1533-position model. The record is from RNAcentral.
AUUGAACGCUGGCGGCAUGCCUUACACAUGCAAGUCGAACGGCAGCACGGGAGCAAUCCUGGUGGCGAGUGGCGAACGGGUGAGUAAUAUAUCGGAACGUGCCCAGUCGUGGGGGAUAACGUAGCGAAAGCUACGCUAAUACCGCAUACGAUCUAUGGAUGAAAGCGGGGGAUCGCAAGACCCCGCGCGAUUGGAGCGGCCGAUAUCAGAUUAGCUAGUUGGUGAGGUAAAGGCUCACCAAGGCGACGAUCUGUAGCUGGUCUGAGAGGACGACCAGCCACACUGGAACUGAGACACGGUCCAGACUCCUACGGGAGGCAGCAGUGGGGAAUUUUGGACAAUGGGCGCAAGCCUGAUCCAGCAAUGCCGCGUGCAGGAUGAAGGCCUUCGGGUUGUAAACUGCUUUUGUACGGAACGAAAUGGUGAGCUCUAAUACAGUUUGCUAAUGACGGUACCGUAAGAAUAAGCACCGGCUAACUACGUGCCAGCAGCCGCAGUAA